CUCGGCUCUCGCAUCGAUGAAGAACGUAGCGAAAUGCGAUACUUGGUGUGAAUUGCAGAAUCCCGUGAACCAUCGAGUCUUUGAACGCAAGUUGCGCCCGAAGCCGUUAGGCCGAGGGCACGUCUGCCUGGGCGUCACGCAUUGCGUCGCCCCCGUGCUCGACCG
Molecule: ribosomal RNA, 165 nt
Filed under: Ipomoea corymbosa
Lineage: Eukaryota; Viridiplantae; Streptophyta; Magnoliopsida; Solanales; Convolvulaceae
Description: 5.8S ribosomal RNA
Rfam family: 5.8S ribosomal RNA (bases 1-137)
About the family: 5.8S ribosomal RNA (5.8S rRNA) is a component of the large subunit of the eukaryotic ribosome. It is transcribed by RNA polymerase I as part of the 45S precursor that also contains 18S and 28S rRNA.
Source: RNAcentral